This 584-nucleotide ribosomal RNA is filed under the name uncultured bacterium. RNAcentral describes it as "partial 16S ribosomal RNA". It matches the Rfam family "Bacterial small subunit ribosomal RNA", at positions 355 to 928 of the family's 1533-position model. The record is from RNAcentral.
UGGGGAAUUUUGGACAAUGGGGGAAACCCUGAUCCAGCCAUCCCGCGUGUGCGAUGAAGGCCUUCGGGUUGUAAAGCACUUUUGGCAGGAAAGAAACGUCGCGGGUUAAUACCCCGCGAAACUGACGGUACCUGCAGAAUAAGCACCGGCUAACUACGUGCCAGCAGCCGCGGUAAUACGUAGGGUGCAAGCGUUAAUCGGAAUUACUGGGCGUAAAGCGUGCGCAGGCGGUUCGGAAAGAAAGAUGUGAAAUCCCAGAGCUUAACUUUGGAACUGCAUUUUUUAACUACCGGGCUAGAGUGUGUCAGGAGGGAGGUGGAAUUCCGCGUGUAGCAGUGAAAUGCGUAGAUAUGCGGAGGAACACCGAUGGCGAAGGCAGCCUCCUGGGAUAACACUGACGCUCAUGCACGAAAGCGUGGGGAGCAAACAGGAUUAGAUACCCCUGGUAGUCCACGCCCUAAACGAUGUCAACUAGCUGUUGGGGGCCUUCGGGCCUUGGUAGCGCAGCUAACGCGUGAAGUUGACCGCCUGGGGAGUACGGUCGCAAGAUUAAAACUCAAAUGAAUUGACGGGGGUCAUAGCUG